UUACAACAACUUCGAAAAGUC
This 21-nucleotide non-coding RNA is filed under the name Caenorhabditis elegans. The record is from RNAcentral. Lineage: Eukaryota; Metazoa; Nematoda; Chromadorea; Rhabditida; Rhabditidae.